This 253-nucleotide non-coding RNA is filed under the name uncultured bacterium. RNAcentral describes it as "partial 16S ribosomal RNA". It matches the Rfam family "Bacterial small subunit ribosomal RNA", at positions 524 to 776 of the family's 1533-position model. RNAcentral also lists the same sequence under 1 other name. The record is from RNAcentral.
UACAGAGGGUGCGAGCGUUAAUCGGAAUUACUGGGCGUAAAGCGUGCGUAGACGGCUAUCUAAGUCGGGUGUGAAAGCCCCGGGCUCAACCUGGGAAUUGCAUUCGAGACUGAAUAGCUAGGGUACGGUAGAGGGAAGCGGAAUUUCCGGUGUAGCGGUGAAAUGCGUAGAUAUCGGAAGGAACAUCAGUGGCGAAAGCGGCUUCCUGGACCAGUACCGACGUUCAGGCACGAAAGCGUGGGGAGCAAACAGG